RNAcentral lists this ribosomal RNA (467 nucleotides) under uncultured bacterium. Its description in RNAcentral is "bacterial SSU rRNA". It matches the Rfam family "Bacterial small subunit ribosomal RNA", at positions 771 to 1233 of the family's 1533-position model. The record is from RNAcentral.
ACCCAAUAGAUACCCCGGUAGUACUCACCGUAAACGAUGGGUACUAGGUGUAGGGGGUCCCCCCGUCCUGUGCCGCAGUUAAACAACAUUAAAGUAACCCCGCCUGGGGAGUACGAUCGCAAGAUUAAAACUACAAAGGAAUUGACGGGGGCCCGGCACAAGCAGCGGAGCAUGUGGUUUAAUUCGAAGCAACGCGAAGAACCUUACCAAGGCUUGACAUCCAAAGAAUCCACAAGAGAUUGAGGAGUGCCCUUCGGGGAACGUUUGAGACAGGUGGUGCAUGGUUGUCGUCAGCUCGUGUCGUGAGAUGUUGGGUUAAGUCCCGCAACGAGCGCAACCCUUGUUGUUAGUUGCUACCAUUAAGUUGAGCACUCUAACGAGACUGCCGAGGUUAACUCGGAGGAAGGUGGGGAUGACGUCAAAUCAUCAUGCCCCUUAUGCCUUGGGCUACACACGUGCUACAAUGG